RNAcentral lists this small RNA (50 nucleotides) under Caenorhabditis elegans. Its description in RNAcentral is "Unclassified non-coding RNA F46H6.10". Lineage: Eukaryota; Metazoa; Nematoda; Chromadorea; Rhabditida; Rhabditidae. The record is from RNAcentral.
UGUUAAAUAUUAGCAUAGAAGAGUUAGUGAAUCACACUGUUCACACAUCU